This 900-nucleotide ribosomal RNA is filed under the name uncultured archaeon. RNAcentral's name for it is "bacterial SSU rRNA". It matches the Rfam family "Archaeal small subunit ribosomal RNA", at positions 5 to 879 of the family's 1478-position model. The record is from RNAcentral.
CGGUUGAUCCUGCCGGACCCCACUGCUAUCGGGAUGGGACUAAGACAUGCUAGUCGAGCGUCUCCCAAGCCAUUGAAGAGACGCGGCACACAGCUCAGUAACACGUGGCUAACCUGCCCUUGGGACAAGGACAACCCCGGGAAACUGGGGCUAAUCCUUGAUAAGCGAGAACUCCUGGAAUGGAUUCUCGCUCAAAGGACGCCUAGACCAUGCUUCUAGGCGUCGCCCAAGGAGGGAGCCGCGGCCGAUCAGGUUGUUGGUGAGGUAACGGCUCACCAAGCCUUUAACCGGUACGGGCCGCGAGAGCGGAAGCCCGGAGAUGGGCACUGAGACAAGGGCCCAGGCCCUACGGGGCGCAGCAGUCGCGAAAACUCCGCAAUACACGAAAGUGUGACGGGGCCAUCCCGAGUGCCAUCCGCUGAGGAUGGCUUUUCCCCAGUGUAUAAAGCUGGAGGAAUAAGGAGAGGGCAAGCCUGGUGUCAGCCGCCGCGGUAAUACCAGCUCUCCGAGUGGUGGGGAUGCUUAUUGGGCCUAAAGCAUCCGUAGCCGGCCGGGCAAGUCCCCCGUUAAAUCCAACGAUUCAAUCGUUGGGCUGCGGGGGAUACUGCCCGGCUAGGGGGCGGGAGAGGCCGACGGUAUUCCCGGGGUAGGGGUGAAAUCCUAUAAUCCCGGGAAGACCACCAGUGGCGAAGGCUGUCGGCUAGAACGCGCCCGACGGUGAGGGAUGAAAGCUGGGGGAGCGAACCGGAUUAGAUACCCGGGUAGCCCCAGCUGUAAACGAUGCAGGCUAGGUGUUGGGGCGGCUACGUGCCGCUCCAGUGCCGCAGGGAAGCCGUUAAGCCUGCCGCCUGGGAAGUACGGCCGCAAGGCUGAAACUUAAAGGAAUUGGCGGGGGAGCAC